Non-coding RNA from Cricetulus griseus (Chinese hamster), 2318 nucleotides. The record is from RefSeq and is a predicted model, not a curated record. NCBI's taxonomy places the organism in Eukaryota, Metazoa, Chordata, Mammalia, Rodentia, Cricetidae.
CUCCGUCCUGUGUCAGAGGGUGCAGGGACACAGGGUGGGAGGAAACUUCACAGCCUGUGCUCAUGGGUGCAUGUGCGUGUGAGUGAGAGAGACAGAAAGAGAUGGAGAGAAUCAGUCCAGGCCACCCUUAGAAAGCCGGGUCCAAAAGAGCAGCUGGAGGCAUCUAGAGGACGAUGUCAGGAGGUCUAAGAAAUCUUUUGGUGUUUAUUUUGUUUUGAAUGUCCGGCACCAGAAUCCCUCUUAAAGAGGGUAGCAAAGUGAGUGGGUGUGCUUAAAACUACUGCAAAAUGAGCAACGGCAAUUGUUCCGCACCAGGCACAGACGCAGUGAGCAGCAGUCUGUAUAGAAUGCAAAAGAGGAAGAAAAGGAGACAUGAACCUCGUCUUCUUUCUUUCACAGAAAGGUCCACCAGCUAGCUGUUCCCAAGCCUCAACAUGAUUCACCAAGGAGGAGGCAGCGGUGAUUCAUCUCCAAGGAGCCUUCCCACGCCCACACCUGCUUCGCAUAGAAGGGGUUUCCUGGACAGUCCCUGCUGAAAAGCCUAGGUGGACUGAACUGGAAACCUGAUAUCAGGAACCCGUUUCUAUGCCUGGGGUAGGAUUAGGGGCAGCAGGAGGUGUCAGAAAUGGGAGCCUGGACACUGCCCAAGUUGGCUCACUCACCCCUUGGGGAGCAGUUCAAUGAAAAGAGAAAUGGCCUCACUAGCAGCGCCCCAGGUGUAAGUCUGGGUGCUGUCCCUGGCUCACCCUGCAAUGUUGGGAGUGGCAAUGAGACAGAGUUGGAAAACAGAACCUAGGAGAGCUACUAAUCCCCAAGGAACGACCACAGGAAACAUCCUGCCAUGGGGACCAAGAAAAGGAGCUGAGCAAAGUCUCCAGAGAGCAAGGAUGGAGUCAGGAGGCAGACAGAUGGAAGAACCAGGCUUCCCCUGUGCCACAAAGAACAUUGCCAUCUACCCGUGACCCAAACCAGACGCUUGGCUUCCUCCCAGCCUCCUGCUUCCCCUGGCUGCUAACCAGAUGUCUGGUCAGCCUGCUUGUUUCUAAGCAUGACUGGUCUCUGUCCACACUGCUUUAGGCCUCUUUCAAAUCAUCUGUCCCAGCUGCAUUCUCCUCCAGCCCUGCUCCUGGGCCUCACACUAACCCCUCCUCAGCUCUAAAAGUUCAAAUUUCUUCAGAUUACAGCAUUCAGUGAAUUCUCCUAACUUUUAGGAGACCCAGGCAUGGCAUCCCAUUCUUGACACACUAACUUUGCUGUGGUAUAGGUCAUACUUUUUCCUGACCCUGAACUUCUGCCCAUGCCAUGUACUCUCAUGGAAAGCCUUCCUCAGUGGAGCCACCCAUCAGCCUCUUUGAUUUCCUUUCUUUCUUUUUUUUUUUUUGAAGAUUUUAUUUAUUAUUUUAUGUUAUAUGCAUGAGUGUUUAUCUGAAUGUAUGCAUGUCUGUGUGCCACAUUCAUACAGUGCCCAAGGAAACCAGAAAAUGGUGUCAGACCCCAGGGACUGGGUUAUAGACUGUUGUGAGUCUUCGAACCUGGGUCCUCUGGAAAAGUAGCCAGGUGCUCUUAACCCCUAGGCCAUCUCUCCAGCUCCAGCACAAGCUCCUUAAUCACCCUUCCAGCUCACCUCAAAGGUCAUUUCCUCUGGGUUCAGCCCCAAAUCCAUUUCCCAGGUCCCCUGCAUGCUUGAGCAGGCCCAUGCUCACACUUAGGCGCUCCCCAGCCAGUCCCUCAGCCUGUUGCUCAUGGCUCUAUAGCAUCAUUUUUAUUAAUUCUGACUUUAAAUAUCUCUCCCACUAGAAAUAAAUGCUAAGCUUCAUGAAACCCUCCAUUCCCUAGUGCCUAGCACAAAAUAAGUGUCUGCUAGAUGGUGGCUGUAGGCUCAAGUGCUGUCCCUCACAGCCAAAUCCUUCUCUCCUCCCUGGACUAUCCUACCUCCAGAUACACCCAGUCCUCUACCCAACCCCUGAACCUUCUGAAAACUGACUUGUUACCAUUCCAUGGGAUCAGCUCUCUCCAGUGCCACCAGAGACUCCCUUCUUUUGAUGGAAAGGGAGCAGCUUGAUGACCCCUUCCUCAGAAGAGUUCUUCUGAGGGAACAAUUCAUUCCACGUGUGCCCUCUCCACCUCCAUGAGAAAACUCUGUUCUCCCCUCCCACAGAUGCUGCUCCUUCUCAUCCAACAUAGCCUCACGAGAAGGGCACCCUUCUCUGUUCCCUUCCUCUACCAACCCCCUGGAGCCUGUGGUUGGGCAGCUUCUGUCUGUGGGGAGGUGUGACUUUUCCUGGGGCAAGGUGAGCAAAUGUCUGUAUUGAACUCAC